Molecule: ribosomal RNA, 111 nt
Filed under: Microtus ochrogaster (prairie vole)
Lineage: Eukaryota; Metazoa; Chordata; Mammalia; Rodentia; Cricetidae
Source: RNAcentral
UGCGGCUAUCCUGUUGAACACACCCUCUCAUCUGAUCUUAGAAGUCAAGCAAGUUGGGUCCUGGCUGGCACUUUGAUGGGAGAAAUACCAGAAAACUAUGAAAAGCAGUAA